This 497-nucleotide ribosomal RNA is filed under the name uncultured bacterium. RNAcentral's name for it is "partial 16S ribosomal RNA". It matches the Rfam family "Bacterial small subunit ribosomal RNA", at positions 28 to 507 of the family's 1533-position model. The record is from RNAcentral.
GAUGAACGCUGGCGGCGUGCCUAAUACAUGCAAGUCGAGCGAACAGACGAGGAGCUUGCUCCUCUGACGUUAGCGGCGGACGGGUGAGUAACACGUGGAUCACCUACCUAUAAGACUGGGAUAACUUCGGGAAACCGGCGCUAAUACCGGAUAAUAUAUUGAACCGCAGGGUUCAAUAGUGAAAGACGGUUUUGCUGUCACUUAUAGAUGGUUCCGCGCCGCAUUAGCUAGUUGGUAAGGUAACGGCUUACCAAGGGAACGAUGCGUAGCCGACCUGAGAGGGUGAUCGCCCACACUGGAACUGAGACACGCUCCAUACGCCUACGGGAGGCAGCAGUAGGGAAUCUUCCGCAAUGGGCGAAAGCCUGACGGAGCAACGCCGCGUGAGUGAUGAAGGUCUUCGGAUCGUAAAACUCUGUUAUUAGGUAAGAACAAAUGUGUAAGUAACUAUGCACGUCUUGACGGUACCUAAUCAGAAAGCCACGGCUAACUACGUG